Molecule: ribosomal RNA, 229 nt
Filed under: uncultured bacterium
Lineage: Bacteria
Description: partial 16S ribosomal RNA
Rfam family: Bacterial small subunit ribosomal RNA
Source: RNAcentral
CAUGUAGGCGGCAUGACAAGUCUGGUGUGAAAUAUCUCGGCUCAACCGAGAAAACGCACUGGAAACUGUCAAGCUUGAGUAUCGGAGGGGAAGCUAGAAUUCCAGGUGUAAGGGUGAAAUCUGUAGAUAUCAGGAAGAAUACCGGUGGCGAAGGCGAGCUUCUGGCCAGAUACUGACGCUGAGAUGCGAAAGCGUGGGGAGCGAACAGGAUUAGAUACCCUGGUAGUCC